Molecule: non-coding RNA, 72 nt
Organism: Bos taurus (domestic cattle)
Lineage: Eukaryota; Metazoa; Chordata; Mammalia; Artiodactyla; Bovidae
Source: Rfam
UCCCUGGUGGCUCAGACAGUAAAGCAUCUGUCUACAAUGCAGGAGACCCGGGUUCGAUCCCUGGGUUGGGAA